Molecule: ribosomal RNA, 568 nt
Filed under: uncultured archaeon
Lineage: Archaea
Description: bacterial SSU rRNA
Rfam family: Archaeal small subunit ribosomal RNA
Source: RNAcentral
CCGCAAUUCGCCCUUCGGGGCGCCCGCGGAUUGAUUUCUUUUCCCUGCUUGCAACGGUAAUUCCGGGGAGUCUAGUGUCAGGUUUCCACUCUGGCUGUCGAGAUGCCUAAAAAGCAUUUCAAUACCUGGGCCGGGUCAUACCGGUGCCAGACGCCGCGGUAACACCGGCGGCUCGAGGGGUAACCGUUAUUAUUGGGUCUAAAGGGUCUGUACCCGGCCGAAUAAUUCUCUUGGGAAAUCCACCAGCUCAUCUGUUGGGUUUUCACGAGAUACUGUCUGGCUCGAGGCCGGGAGAGGUGAGAGGUACUUCAGGGGUAGGGGAGAAAUCUUGUAAUCCUUGAAGGACCACCAGUGACAAAGGCGUCUCACCAUAACGGACCUGACGGCAAGGGACUAAAGCUAGGGGCACGAACCGGAUUAGAUACCCGGGUAGUCCUAACCGUAAACGAUACUCGCUAGGUGUCGGCCACGGUGCGACCGUUGUCGGUGCCGUAAGGAAGCCGUGAAGCUAGCCACCUGGUAAGUACGGCCGCAAGGCUGAAACUUAAAGGAAUUGGCGGGGGAGCAC